ACAGGUAAGGUUAUAACAUAUCACUAAGCCUGGUACUUAAUGAUGUGACUCUCUGAUCCUGUUUGUGCCCUGCCCUCAAGAAGCAUUGUGACAUCACUGGGCUAAGCAACAAGGUUACUGGGAUCUCAAUGUAGAUGUUAUGUCCAGACAGAGGCUGCUGUGAGCUGAAUCGUCUGCUUCCCAAAAUUCCUAUGUUGACACCUUAACCCCCAGCACCUAAGAAUGUGACUAUAUUUGGAGAUAGCAUCAUCACAGAGUCUCAGGGAUGUCUUUAUCAGCAGUAUGAAAAUGAACCAAUUCAUCCCACUUCACUGUUUGAAGAAAAACUGCUGGCUCUAUGGGGUCUUCAAUUUACUGAAUGAUUCCUAGAUGCCUGGCCCUAAUUCACUCAAGAGUCAAGAAAGGUGCCACCUUAUGGUGCUCACUGGGCGGUUGUGGAUGUCUAACCUCAGUGCUAGUCACACAGAACCUGAAGCCAGGCUGGCUGCUCCUGUAAAUGGCAUGGAAUCCCAGGGAAUAUCCUGCAUUCUCAGUGUCCAGCUGUCUGAUGCCACAGUUGUUUAUGAUGAUCGAGGACAACUACGUUUUUCUGAGGAGACUUACCACCUCAUGGCUGAGGCAUUCACAAAAAAUAGCUCACGUUAUGUUUUGCUUAUUUGCAAGUCAACAAGAUGAGGUCCCUGAGGAUGUCUAACUGAUUCUGUCCACUCGGGAAUGUUUCGGACUUGGUCUUCCUUUUAAUUUACUUUAUAAAUCAUUUUGUAAUUUUUAUCUCCUACUCAUUCUGUAACAGGUAACACAACUGACCAGAAGAAAAACAGCCUAGAUCCUGAGCAUUCAGCCUGUGUCUUCACACAACAAACACCACCUGAGUCCCAUCAAAGCCUGUGUUGUUUCCCAACAUCCACCAUUGAGACAUAUUCCAGAGCAGCCUCUCAAAAUCACCUAAACAAGAUGGAACAAGAAGGUGGAGCCAGACGUACAGGGCGGAACAUGAAAGUGGACCAGGAGCGUGACCGCUGAAGCACAGCACCACAGGAAGAGGUUUAGGCCUCUGGAUGACUGCGGGCGGGCCUGACUCAUGUCAGGCCUUCCACAAGAAGUGGUGGAGCAGAGUCUUCCCCAACUCUCCCAGGGAAAGGGAGACUCCCUUUGCCGGUCUGCUAAGUAACCGGUGCCUUCCCAGGCACUGGCGUUACCGCUAGACCAAGGAGCCCUCUAGUGGCCAUGUCUGGGCAUAACUGAGGGCUCACACUCUUCUGGUCACUUAUCACCCUUCAGCUCCUAUCUCUGUAUGGCCUGGUCUUUCCUAGGUUAUAAUUGUAGAACGGACAUUAUUAUAAUAUUGGAAUAAAGAGUAAUGCUACAAAC
Molecule: long non-coding RNA, 1371 nt
Filed under: Homo sapiens (human)
Lineage: Eukaryota; Metazoa; Chordata; Mammalia; Primates; Hominidae
Description: non-protein coding LINC01566:2
Source: RNAcentral